This 76-nucleotide transfer RNA is filed under the name Escherichia coli. RNAcentral's name for it is "tRNA-Asn". It matches the Rfam family "tRNA". From Rfam's summary of the family: Transfer RNA (tRNA) molecules are approximately 80 nucleotides in length. Lineage: Bacteria; Pseudomonadati; Pseudomonadota; Gammaproteobacteria; Enterobacterales; Enterobacteriaceae. RNAcentral also lists the same sequence under 193 other names. The record is from RNAcentral.
UCCCUCGUAGUUCAGUCGGUAGAACGGCGGACUGUUAAUCCGUAUGUCACAGGUUCAAGUCCUGUCGAGGGAGCCA